This is a non-coding RNA of Heterocephalus glaber (naked mole-rat), 7829 nucleotides long. The record is from RefSeq and is a predicted model, not a curated record. Lineage: Eukaryota; Metazoa; Chordata; Mammalia; Rodentia; Bathyergidae.
CUUGGACCCAGCUGACUAUGAACUGAACCCUCUGAAACUAUUGGGGACAUGAGACCUCGUGUCUUCAGGAUCACCGUGAGGCUUACAUAAGAUAAUGUGUGUGAGGUGCCAGCACAGCAAGAGUCCCAGGCAGGAGCACAGCAAAACUACGAGUUCUUCUCCUUCCUGCUGUUUAUUUUAAGCCUAUCAAGGACUUGAAGGAGCCUCUUCCUCCACGUUCUUCCACUAAUGUUCCUGGUUCUCUAGCCUCCUCGUGCCUCCCCAGUUCAUUGGAGGUUUGUCGUAGGAUUGAUCAACUAACUGGCUUCUCAUGGCUCGUUCCUGACUGAGGACCUGGUGCUGAGUGAUGCUGUCUUUCUCCCCUCCAGCCUUCUGGGAGACUGGAAGCUCCAGGCCGCCCCAGAGCCCUUCCGCCUACUCCACUGUCCAAGACUGAACAGCUGCUCUGUUUCGAGUUCUGUGAACUGAGUGGAGUAGAGACUGGGGGACUGGAGCAGCGGAGGCUUUCCGCUCCAAAAGGCAGAGCCGUUGCUGCCAGCCCCCAGCAGCUGCAGAGCCCCUCCCGGCACCCCAGGGAUGCUGCACAUGUGGCUGGGUUCCCAUAGCAACCUCUGAGGGACCAGCUGUCCCUGUUAUACCACAUCACCUCCUGGAUGCUUCGAGAGGUUGGGAAGAGGAGGGGAGGAGGAGGGAUUGCAGGGCCCUUGCAAAUGCAAACACUUCCACUCUUACACUCCCAGUAGCUGGGGGGAAUGUGUUAGUAUUGUCACAGAUAUGGACAGAUAUGGAUAUGGAUAUGGAAAUAUGGAGGCCCUGAAACACUUCAGGUUCACCUAGCUAGCCGAGGUUCACUCAGCUAAUGCAAGAGACUGUGUCUGCCCCCUUCAGUUUACAGUGAUGCGGUCAGGACAGUUGGUACCUGCCAGACAUCUCUGGUGACAAGCAACAGAAACCAGCUCCCAUGGCAGAAAGAAAAUAGGAUUUAUUAGAAGUGUGGUGCAGACCAGAAGGAAAGGAAACAUUAAAGACACAUUUUGGGAAAGGACAGGAAGUGGGUGGCUGGAAGGUCCAGGUACCGGGAAUAGAAGAUCAUUUCAUCAGAAGAAAUGAACUUCCAUCUUUAAAUGUUUUUGUCUUGACAUUUAAGAAUUCAAGUUUCAGGAAGAGGGCCUGGGCCUAGGUGGCUGGGAGAGGGUAGGCCACUGAUGACUGUCCUUCCAAGUCUGUGUCCACUGGGAUAGGGAUUGGUCCCCAAAGAAGAAUUAGGGUGCUCUCUCCAGAAGAAAGGGAGAUGAAUCCCAGGCAGGCACCAAGCUUCAUGCCCACCAGGCUGCACUGGGAAUCAAAGGGUCACCAGGCAGGAGAGUCCAUGGGCAAUGAAGGAGAUGCACGGAGCUCAGAGUGGUGCCAUGCAGGAGAGCUGGGUCCACUCUGGAGGGCCAGUAGUCAGCAAAUGGACAAGGUCAGGAGGCUGAACACUGACGGUCUCCAUUUUCACAGACCAAAGUGGUACCCGUGGCUUAGUGUUGUCCCCACUGUUAACGGGACAUCCAUAUCCCAAUCCUCUCCGAGCCCCCAGGGUCAGCACUGCUCGGUACAAAGAGCCCUGGUCACCAUCUAACGUUCACUGUUGUCUCCCUAGUGCCUGAGGGAGCACCUGGCACAUAGUAGGUGCCCAGUUAUUAUUUGCUGAAUGAAUGAGAAAGGGCUAAUCUCUCCAAUUGGCACUUGGGGUACAGUGGUAAACUACAAGAAGCAUCCUGACCUCGCGGACCUUGCAGUCUAGGGAGAUCGACACAAGAAAGACAUAGCAAAAGAGCAAAACUAACGUGGCAAAACACUGUGAUAUUUACUUUGAAGGAAGUCAACAACAUUUCAAAAAUAAAAAGGCAUGAAACUACUGAAGAUGCAGCAGGCCUCUCUAAAGCCACAUUUAAACAGAGACCUGAAGGGUAAGAAGGGACCAAUCAUGAGAAGGGUGAAGGAUAAUUCUUCUCAGUAGAGGACAGAACAGGUGCAAAGGCCCCGGGGUUGGAAGGGCAUGGGAUGUUUAGGGAACUGGAAUGAGAGGACCAGGGUGGCCAGGGAUUUGUGAGCAAGGGCUAGAAUACAGGUCCAGGGUGGGCAGGUGCCAGGUCACUGGUGCCUGGUAGGUGGUACUAUGUCACUUGCUUGCACUCAAGAUAAAUGGAGAAAUUAUUGAACACUAGUGCUUGACUACAUUUGCAUUCCCGGCUGAUUGACCCAGCUUCUAAAUAGGGAAUAUACCAAAUCAGAGAGCAGGCAAUAGCAGUGAUCAAGAAUGGGACUGAACUAGGUGUGGUGGUGCAUAUCUGUAAUCUCAGCACUGGGAAGGCUGAGGCAGGAAGAUUGCCCUGAGUUUGAGGCCAGCCUGAGCUACAUAGUGAGAAAAAAAUGGAACUGAGCACAGGCAGCCAAGGCUCAGAGGACAGCGGGACACCUUCAGGCCGCCUCUCAGUUCAGUCAGGUUGGGCGAUAUCACCUUCCAGGGAAGAGGAAGGCCCCUCUGCUCCCCCAGCGUGGUCCCAGCCUUCAGGUGAUGGAUAGAUCCGCUGAUGAUCUGACUGGGCCCCGUGCCCAAGUGACAGGUGAUGGUUGGGGUUGGAAAUGAGUGCUCUGAGCCAUGUGGCCAGUGCACUGCUCCAAGGAGGCCUUUGGAGCCAGGAGUUAAUUUUAAAAAAGGCGAGAGAGAGAGUUCGAUAUCACUUCCUCUACUGCUCAAUUAGUGGAGAGGGCUGCAGGGAGCUAGGGUUUUAAAGAUCCCCUUAAUCAUUUCUGUCUGCCUGGCAGUAUGCAGGAUCAGGCCAUUAACAGAUGCAAUUAAGGCACAGGGGCCUCCAGCACCCCUGUCUGCAAUUAAACAGCAGACGAGGGGCUCCCAGGGUAGCCUCUGAGAUGAAUCACUUGGAGCAGAAACCUUGGGAGGCCGGAAGUCUGGACAGAGAGGCAAUGAGAUUCAAUAACAUGGGGAUGGGGAUGGGGAUGGAGAGAGACUCAUCGAAUCAGCCUCUCCGGAUGGAGGCCCAGCCUGCAGUUGGAUGGAUGAUCUCUGGGACGACUGAGAAGAGGUUCUGCCUUCCGUGACGGAGAGUCGGUAUCUGGAACUCAUGGACCACCUCUGGGGCCCAAGCGCUUGCUUCCUGCCAAGGACAUACGCCCGAGGAGUGCAGAGACGGGGAAGUUCCGGGAUCAGUAAUUGUGAUGAGAAAUGGGCCGUCUGAGUGUGUUGGCAGGAGCGCGUGUUCCUGUCCCGCAGGUGGGGAGAAAUUUCCAUUCUUGGGCACCUCCGAUGGACCAGGCCUGUGCCCACUCCUGCCCCAGGUGCCAUUUCCUUACUUUGACACCACAUCCCACCAGCCUUACAUGACAGCCAUGGCCUCUUUGUUGCAGAUGAGGGAAUGGGUGGCCCGGGGAAUCACAGAAUUUGUAGGUGGUGGAGCUGGGAUUUGAACCCUGGCCUGUGUGACUUCCAAUAGUUCACUCCAUGGCCGAGAAGCCUCUCUGUAAUCAUGACUGCCAAGAUCUCACCCCGUGUGUCCCGUGAUGCCCCAUGGGUGGACUCGGGGACAUUUCAGUGUCACUCCUAGCCUUCCCUCCCUGUGUCAGAAUCUCUGAACUUCUGAAAAGCCCUCUGCAUGGAUCCUGGCAUAGUCCGGAGGCAACACCCAAAGUCUUAGCCACCAAGGCUCAUCGGAGCUAAGGAAGAAACUCUAACCCUCCAUUCUUCUAUCUCCAUUCCUCCACCCGUGCCUCAUGGUGACAGCUGGUCCUCCUCGCCAAGCUGCCAGCUCUUCCCUGCUGCUAAGUUAGCAUCUCUGCUGGCACUGGGGGCUGAAGCGCCUGAUGGAAAAGCUCCAUGGGCCAAACUUGGCAAAGAGCUUGGCCUGGCUGGCUACACUUGAACAUCGUCCCUGUGGCCGGGGCUCUGCCCAUGGCCAAGGCCCCAGCCACUCCACAGAAGAGCUGAAGUUGCUCUGAUUUUGCCCCAGGGGAGCUCAGGAGUGAAUUGUGUGUCUCCUAGUCCCCAUUUCCACAGCUCAUUUCUCUGUAAACUUUGCUUUAGAUUUUCCUUUUUUUUUCCUCUGUGGCGUCAGUGGAGAGCUGGUUUCAGAGAGCAACAAAAGUUGGUGGGUUAAAGUCACGUUCACAGGGGACCCACCUGCCAGUCACACCUUCCUUCCAGGCCUUCCUAAGCCACCCCAGGACACCCGCUGCCUGCAUGCCCCACAUUCUUCCUGCAUGGAGGACUCUCCUGGGUCUGCCUUGCUUGUGCCUGCCUGCAUGAAAGCCCUGUAAAUUGGGAAGAGAAAGACAGGGGCAAGCAGCUUCAGUUUGGCUCAGGUGCAAAUCUGCUCUGGGCACUCAGCAGCCAAAUUGCCCAGAGAGAAUUGUAUCUUCUGCACCCCCAGAACCGCCAGGCUAUUGCUGGGCUUUGAGGCAUGGCUGUGGAGUCCUCUCCCUUCCCUUCCCUCUGCUUCUCAAGCAUUUACCAAAUGCACUCUAUGUGGCUGGCAAAGUUCCAGGGGCUGCAGACCAGGUGAUAAAUAAACCAGCCCCUGUCUCUUAGGAGAGAUGCUCAGGUGAGGAACAUGUAACCCUCAACUACAGUGGGAGACAUUUUUCUGUAGGGGCAGGGACAAGGGCCUCCCUCUGGGAGCAGGGGGAGGUGGCACUGCAUCGUGUCUCAAGGCUGGCAUGGCAGAGCAGGCACAGGUGGUCCAGGAACCCAGGAGCCAGGAAGUGGAGCCAGGUCCAGAAGGGCACAGGAAGGGAUGGCACAGGCACCUUCGCCAUCAGCCCCUUGAGCCAGGUGGGAUGGGGAAGUUGGGGUGCAGACAGGGAGGCCACAGGACACUUUACUGGUAAGGGACACCAGUGCACCCCAGACAGGUGUCCUGCGGCUGAGAUUCCAGAUUCAAGGAGAGCCCUCGACACACACCAUGGGUGACAACCUGCUCAGGCACACUGGCCAAGAUUUCUGUAAGCCAGAAAUGUGCAGGCAUGCUUACCCGUACAUGCACGCACUCCCCUCUUCCCUCCACACCAAGUGAGCAUCACCAAUCACUCAGUGCCAAACAGAUGGUAAAGAGGAGUUCUUGCUCCAAGGAGUGGGUGGCAGCGGCAAGGUCACUGUGACACAAAGCAGACAAAUGGCUUCUGAUGUCUCCUUCCUGUUCUGCCACUCAGGUCUGGCUGAAAGGCUCCUGUUCAGACCUGGAAAACUAGUCCAUAGGGUUACCUUUCUCCUUCCCCAUCUCCUCCCUCCUUUUCUGGCCUUCUUAAUGUUAAUCCUUUCACUCUUCCUCUUCCCCACCUACUGUAUCUUCUUUUCUUGGGGAGCUGGCAAGGAGUGUGUGGACGGUGAGAAAGGAAAAUAGAGCCUUUGACCUUUGGAAGUGGCCCGAGGUCACUCCCAGCUAUGCCAGCCACCUUCCUGCUGGAUGCAAAAGAAGUGGGAGGGCACCAGCCUCGGGCCAGUUCACUCUAACAUCGAGACAAAAUGAGACCGGCCAAGGCCCCAUUACAGACAAAAAGAAGGUCACCCUGCCACCCACGAAACACCGACUGUCUCCUCUCUUGGUCGGGAUGAUCUGGCUGCUUCUUAAAUCUUCAUUAUAGUCUCCCUUCCCUACAGCUGAGGUUUAUUGAGAUCACUGUAGAAUUGCCCUUGCUUUCUGACAGCAAGCUGAAUCUCUCCAACUUUCUUCCCAAGUGACCCUAUCAAAGUCCACAUUAUGCAACUGGUCUUUUCUGUCUGCUAGGCUGAGGCAGGAGGAACACAAAUUUGAGUCCAACUUGUGCAACUUAGCAAAUUAGUGAGACUCUGCCCCCAGGGUAGCUCAGUGUGUAGCUCAGUGUGAAAGCCCUGGGUUCAAUCUCCAGUGCCACAAACAAAACAAACAGUUCUUUCUAACACCACCUGGACAAAACACACCCCAGGCUCCCCAUGGUGUACUGUGUUCCCUCUGCAAUGAAUAAAGAUCCCACCCGGUUUCACUACAGAUCUGUUCCUGCUGGCCUUUGACUAAAGGGCUUUGGCGAAAUUGGAGGUUCUAUUGAGAUUCAGCUGAGACCCUCACUGCUUUGACCUAGGACAUUUGCUCCACGCUGCAUGCAUCCCUUGAGAGGUGGCAGGCAGUGGUGUUUUAAAGCACCCUGUCAUUUUUUUUUUGGUACCAGGGAUCAAACUUGGGACCUUGUGCUUGCGAGGCAGGCACCAGAACCACUGAGCUAAAUCCCCGGCCCUAGCUCCCUGUCAUUUUAAUGAGCAGUUUGGGGUGGGAGUUCCCAGGUGACAAGUCACUUCAGGAGACUGUCAUAAAGGUCAGAGGGUAAGGCCUAUAAGUCAAACAGCGUGGACUUAGUACCCAAUCAAAAUCAGCUUUCCAGCUGUCCGUCCAAUUUUUGGUGAGGAGGAGUAUUAGAGAUUGAACCCAGGGCCUUCACACUGAGACAGGUUCUCACUAAGUCACUAAAUUGCUCAGGCAGGCAAUCCUGCCUCAGCCACCACCCGAAGUGUGGGAUUACAAAUGUGCACCACCAUACCCUGCAAGAUCAGCUCUCACUGUCAUUGAUUUCUGUGCCUUAUUCAUUUUGCUGACCCUUUCAACAAACAUUUGAUUUUACUAAUGAGAUUGAAUAGGUUUUUUGCUGUUGUUUGUUUGUUAGGAUUGAACCCAUGGCCUUUCAGAUGCCGGGCGAGCUCUCAACCACUAAACCACACUCACAAUCCUCAAUAAACAUUUGUUGAAUGAGCCUGAGUACUGAUGGGAGGCUGUGGAUUGCAUUUUAUGUAAUAAUCUCUGGCCACGCCUCCAUCUCUCCCCAGCCAUCCUUCCCUCUGAUUCUACCUUCUCCCGGCCACCAAGGCAAGAGCUGAGGCUGGAAACUCUCACCUACGUCUAACACUGGGCCCAUCUCCUUCUCCAUGGAGCAUGGCAUGGCCCCUUUCUGUCUGGGCCCCUGUCCCACCCACCCCAUGGUGGCUUGGGGUUCCUGGGUCUUCUCUAUGAAGUGCCUCAGUCAGGACAGAUCUCAGCCCUACCACAUCAUGCCUCUGGCUCAGGUAGCCUCCAUGGGUCCUCGAUAUUUCCUAAGGAAGUCCACACCUUCCCCUUGACAGUCAAGUCCUCCUAUGAUCCAGCUGUGUGUGCCUUGUAUCAGUGCCAUACUUAGAGUACUUGUCAUGAGCCCACAGACUUCCUGCCUGCCUGCUGCAAGUUAUUAAGCUCUGCUCUGCCAGCUCUGCUGCCUGAAAGGUGGACCCACCAUUAAGUCCCUAUAAAUCCUGUUUAUCAUGCAAAUGCAGCUCCAGUGCUACUUCCUUUUGAUAAUGGAUUGAUUUUGUCAACUUUAGUAAAUAAUGCCCAACUAAAUUGCCUCACCAUAGGUCUAGGUGGGGAAGACCCACCGUGGAUUUAUCACUAGAACGCUAUAAGACAGAAACAAGAAGGAGAGAUUCCUUCUGUCAUCUUUGGAGAAGCUCCAGUCUUCACUUUUACCUUGGCUGUUAUCUUCUGGCUUCCAGCACAGACCUUUUAGCCUUCUGGUACAGACCCUUCAGUCUUCUGUCACAGACCUAUCAGCCUCCUGAUAUGGACUCACAUGGGACAGUACAUGGAGCUCCAGGCCUUCCCCGGAUCCUUCAGAUUCCUAGUGCACACACAGACCUUUUGAACUCUUCCACACCCUACCCUGUGGGUGGCCAUCAUAAGCCAAUUUGCAAAUUCUUAUAUAUUUGUACAUUUGUUGUAUCUUGUAUUAUAUGUUUCUCUAGUAAAUAUCGACUGAUAUAUUCCUCCUCCCCA